GAUGAACGCUGGCGGCGUGCCUAAUACAUGCAAGUCGAGCGAAUGGAUUAAGAGCUUGCUCUUAUGAAGUUAGCGGCGGACGGGUGAGUAACACGUGGGUAACCUGCCCAUAAGACUGGGAUAACUCCGGGAAACCGGGGCUAAUACCGGAUAACAUUUUGAACCGCAUGGUUCGAAAUUGAAAGGCGGCUUCGGCUGUCACUUAUGGAUGGACCCGCGUCGCAUUAGCUAGUUGGUGAGGUAAUGGCUCACCAAGGCAACGAUGCGUAGCCGACCGGAGAGGGUGAGCGGCAACACUGGGACGGAGACACGGCCCAGACUCCUGCGGGAGGCAGCAGUAGGGAAUCUUCCGCAAUGGACGAAAGUCUGACGGAGCAACGCCGCGUGAGUGAGGAAGGCUUUCGGGUCGUAAAACUCUGUUGUUAGGGAAGAACAAGUGCUAGUUGAAUAAGCUGGCACCUUGACGGUACCUAACCAGAAAGCCACGGCUAACUACGUGCCAGCCGCCGCGGUAA
This 515-nucleotide ribosomal RNA is filed under the name uncultured bacterium. Its description in RNAcentral is "partial 16S ribosomal RNA". It matches the Rfam family "Bacterial small subunit ribosomal RNA", at positions 28 to 523 of the family's 1533-position model. The record is from RNAcentral.